Molecule: small RNA, 132 nt
Filed under: Klebsiella pneumoniae
Lineage: Bacteria; Pseudomonadati; Pseudomonadota; Gammaproteobacteria; Enterobacterales; Enterobacteriaceae
Description: RtT sRNA
Rfam family: RtT RNA
About the family: This family represents a bacterial cis-regulatory element known as RtT RNA. The exact function of RtT is unknown although it is thought that it may be involved in changing the cellular response in relation to amino acid starvation.
Source: RNAcentral
UAUUCUGCCCCACGGGGAAGGAUGAGAAGCUUCGACCAAGGUUCGACUCGAGCGAAGCGAGAGAACGUUGCCGCAGGCAAUGGCCCGAAGGGCGAGGCGCUUUAGCGCCGAGUAAUCCUUCCCCCACCACUU